UGGGGAAUAUUGCACAAUGGGCGCAAGCCUGAUGCAGCAACGCCGCGUGAACGAUGAAGGUCUUCGGAUCGUAAAGUUCUGUUGCAGGGGAAGAUAAUGACGGUACCCUGUGAGGAAGCCCCGGCUAACUACGUGCCAGCAGCCGCGGUAAUACGUAGGGGGCUAGCGUUAUCCGGAUUUACUGGGCGUAAAGGGUGCGUAGGUGGUCCUUCAAGUCGGAGGUUAAAGGCUACGGCUCAACCGUAGUAAGCCGCCGAAACUGGAGGACUUGAGUGCAGGAGAGGAAAGUGGAAUUCCCAGUGUAGCGGUGAAAUGCGUAGAUAUUGUGAGGAACACCUGUAGCGAAGGCGGCUUUCUGGACUGCAACUGACACUGAGGCACGAAAGCGUAGGUAGCAAUCAGG
Molecule: ribosomal RNA, 403 nt
Filed under: Verrucomicrobiota bacterium
Lineage: Bacteria; Pseudomonadati; Verrucomicrobiota
Description: Verrucomicrobia bacterium partial 16S ribosomal RNA
Rfam family: Bacterial small subunit ribosomal RNA
Source: RNAcentral